Molecule: long non-coding RNA, 1025 nt
Organism: Astatotilapia calliptera (eastern happy)
Lineage: Eukaryota; Metazoa; Chordata; Actinopteri; Cichliformes; Cichlidae
Source: Ensembl
GCCAUAGUACUUUAUGCGGGUCAAAUAUGUUAAGGAUAAUGUUUCUCAAUGUAACAUUGCAAAGAACUUUUGGAUAGGAUACAUUUUGUAAAUAGUUACCUCAGAACCUGUACUGUCAGAUCUAUGUAUUGUUACGAUUCGGUGUUGUCAGUGUUUUGUUUUAGGCAUGACUGUUAUGUUUCCUGUUUUACUUUGAAGGUCUGUUGUAUCUCAGUGUGUUCAGCUCACCUUUUUUUGUCUCGUCAGGUCUGAUUUGCCCCAGCUGUGUUUCCCUCCUGUGGUCCAUUCCCUGAUUGCUCCCUCUAUGUAUUUAAGCCUUGUGUUUCAGUUUGUGAGGGUUGCGAUCUUCCCCCCCGGUUGUAAAUAGUUUGGGGUUUUGAUGUAAAUAAAUGUCUUAUUUUGCUUUGAUGUAAGUAGUUGUCGAUACUUUCGUUUUGGGAUUUUUUUGUGGAGACCCGUAGUAGUUUUUUUUGUUUUGUUUUUUUUUUCCUUAUUUUUAUUUUUCCUGUGUUGCACGCCGGUUGCCUAGGCUGGGGUGUAACAGUAUGUAAGGUUAAACUUUCCACAGUACAUCCACUUAAGUAAGUAACCAAACACAUAAAGUCACCCUUACCAAUAAUGUUGGUAAGGGUGACUGUUCCUUGAAAAAAGUAACACAAACAGACAACUGACUCAUCAAUGAUAAGUAGAGCUACCUGAGGCUGAGACUCAAGCAGAAGAAAAUUAAAAGUUGUUUUUUUUUUUUUUAUGGCUCGAAAGAUUGAAGAAAAAUAUGUUUAAUAAUUCAACAAGAGUCGCACCUUCAACACACGUACAUUCAAAUUUUGGAACAGACUCAACAUUGCUGUUGUUCAAUAGUUUUUAUCCACUCUCAAAAGUCAUUUUAUGGCUUUAAUAUUUCCAGCUGAUAAGGAGACUUACGCCAUUUCAAAUGUGCGUCCAAAGGCUUUAAACAUCCGCUUUGUCUGUAAUGACAGUAUCAAACUGCAGAGCAUUGUUUUUACUAAAAUUCAGCAUUUUCUGAU